RNAcentral lists this unclassified non-coding RNA (217 nucleotides) under Hevea brasiliensis (rubber tree). Lineage: Eukaryota; Viridiplantae; Streptophyta; Magnoliopsida; Malpighiales; Euphorbiaceae. The record is from RNAcentral.
UCUCUUGAUAGUACUUGCUACAUUUGUGGAGAUAGGAGUAGGGAGUUUGCCUAUGGGAUUGGAAAUUUAUUCAUUCACUCGUUAAAUUCCAUCAUUCUAAAUAGAGACACUUUGGCUAUUGAUUAUUCUAGAAUUUCUUUUGAGCAUGACUUUCUCUUUUGAUUGGUUGGUUCGGGAAUUUUGGAUGAUAAUUGACUUGAUGGCUAAGUGGUGAAAG